GAAGAGAGGAGCUUGCUCUUCUUGGAUGAGUUGCGAACGGGUGAGUAACGCGUAGGUAACCUGCCUUGUAGCGGGGGAUAACUAUUGGAAACGAUAGCUAAUACCGCAUAACAAUGGAUGACACAUGUCAUUUAUUUGAAAGGGGCAAUUGCUCCACUACAAGAUGGACCUGCGUUGUAUUAGCUAGUAGGUGAGGUAAUGGCUCACCUAGGCGACGAUACAUAGCCGACCUGAGAGGGUGAUCGGCCACACUGGGACUGAGACACGGCCCAGACUCCUACGGGAGGCAGCAGUAGGGAAUCUUCGGCAAUGGGGGCAACCCUGACCGAGCAACGCCGCGUGAGUGAAGAAGGUUUUCGGAUCGUAAAGCUCUGUUGUAAGUCAAGAACGGGUGUGAGAGUGGAAAGUUCACACUGUGACGGUAGCUUACCAGAAAGGGACGGCUAACUACGUGCCAGCAGCCGCGGUAAUACGUAGGUCCCGAGCGUUGUCCGGAUUUAUUGGGCGUAAAGCGAGCGCAGGCGGUUUGAUAAGUCUGAAGUUAAAGGCUGUGGCUCAACCAUAGUUCGCUUUGGAAACUGUCAAACUUGAGUGCAGAAGGGGAGAGUGGAAUUCCAUGUGUAGCGGUGAAAUGCGUAGAUAUAUGGAGGAACACCGGUGGCGAAAGCGGCUCUCUGGUCUGUAACUGACGCUGAGGCUCGAAAGCGUGGGGAGCGAACAGGAUUAGAUACCCUGGUAGUCCACGCCGUAAACGAUGAGUGCUAGGUGUUGGAUCCUUUCCGGGAUUCAGUGCCGCAGCUAACGCAUUAAGCACUCCGCCUGGGGAGUACGACCGCAAGGUUGAAACUCAAAGGAAUUGACGGGGGCCCGCACAAGCGGUGGAGCAUGUGGUUUAAUUCGAAGCAACGCGAAGAACCUUACCAGGUCUUGACAUCCCGAUGCUAUUUCUAGAGAUAGAAAGUUACUUCGGUACAUCGGUGACAGGUGGUGCAUGGUUGUCGUCAGCUCGUGUCGUGAGAUGUUGGGUUAAGUCCCGCAACGAGCGCAACCCCUAUUGUUAGUUGCCAUCAUUCAGUUGGGCACUCUAGCGAGACUGCCGGUAAUAAACCGGAGGAAGGUGGGGAUGACGUCAAAUCAUCAUGCCCCUUAUGACCUGGGCUACACACGUGCUACAAUGGUUGGUACAACGAGUUGCGAGUCGGUGACGGCGAGCUAAUCUCUUAAAGCCAAUCUCAGUUCGGAUUGUAGGCUGCAACUCGCCUACAUGAAGUCGGAAUCGCUAGUAAUCGCGGAUCAGCACGCCGCGGUGAAUACGUUCCCGGGCCUUGUACACACCGCCCGUCACACCACGAGAGUUUGUAACACCCGAAGUCGGUGAGGUAACCUUUUGG
This 1391-nucleotide ribosomal RNA is filed under the name Streptococcus thermophilus. RNAcentral describes it as "bacterial SSU rRNA". It matches the Rfam family "Bacterial small subunit ribosomal RNA", at positions 68 to 1446 of the family's 1533-position model. Lineage: Bacteria; Bacillati; Bacillota; Bacilli; Lactobacillales; Streptococcaceae. The record is from RNAcentral.